GUAACAAGGAAAUCUUGGAGCAAAGAGACGCCGAGUGGCUCGUGUUGUGCGGUUUGGAUAUCUGCUGCAAUGCGAACGUUGUGUGUACUAUUGCAAAAUAGCGGAUCUCCCCGGUUAGGAUACAGACCACAACGCUUUGGACGUAUCUUUAAAAAAGAGAAAAAUCAGAGACUUUUUGGAUUUGUCUGGGGACAUUUUAAACAUUUUGUGUCAAAUUGGAUUUAAAACAUUUCGGAUACUGGAUACCUAGUUUGAUUUGUCCACAGAUCUUGUUUAAGACGUUUUCACCUCAUUUUAGGGUUUAUUUUUAAUUAAAGGCUUCUUAAAACAUGUAUGAAAAUGUGUAUAUUAUACAAUGAGUCUUAUAUUGUCUGCUCUGACAAAAAUAAAUUAUUAUUUUAGAUCUUA
Non-coding RNA from Paramisgurnus dabryanus, 408 nucleotides. The record is from RefSeq and is a predicted model, not a curated record. Lineage: Eukaryota; Metazoa; Chordata; Actinopteri; Cypriniformes; Cobitidae.